This 561-nucleotide long non-coding RNA is filed under the name Canis lupus familiaris (dog). RNAcentral's name for it is "lncRNA (ENSCAFG00000050560.1)". Lineage: Eukaryota; Metazoa; Chordata; Mammalia; Carnivora; Canidae. The record is from RNAcentral.
GAUGUGCAACCUGAAUAAAACAUUUCCAGAAGAGCCUGAAUAAUGGUCCUGAAUAAAGGGAACUGAAAUGUUCUUGAAUUAUAAUUGGGAAAAAUUUAAGUAUGUGUACUCAAGAACACAUGUACUAAGAAGAGGGCAUUCAGAAAUUAGCAAACAAUUUGUCAGAUUUAUACAAGAUUACUGAGAAAUUGGAGAAGGGGAGUAAGGAUGGAAAGAUGAGGAAGACUAAAGAUCAGUGUCAGUCUCUGACUCCAAGGGCUUUAUGCUCCACAGGAUGAGAGAGUUCAUUCUUGGCUCGCUAGUCCCCCAGCAUGGUGGCAUUUGUUGCAGCUCACUGAAGGAGAGGUUUCUUUUUCUGAAUAUUUGCUGCUUUGAUUGUCCAGGCAAGAAACGGAAUUAUUUUGGAAAUACAUAAGAUUCCUCAAUUGUCGCUCUCACCUCUUUGAUCACAGCCACCCUGCAAAAUUUCAGCUGUGAUCCUGUUCACACCAUCCUUCUCUGUUCCUAUGCCUUGUAAGUAGCAUAAUAUAAUGAAAAGGGAGCAUCUAACUCUAGGAUAGA